UAGCAUGGUGGGGGCAGGCGGCGAUGUAUUCUUGAAGUCUUUCCCAAGCCUCCGCCACCGUCUCAUCAGCGAGCUGCUGAAAGCUUGAGAUGCGGUUUCUCAGUGA
Molecule: small nucleolar RNA, 106 nt
Organism: Panicum virgatum (switchgrass)
Lineage: Eukaryota; Viridiplantae; Streptophyta; Magnoliopsida; Poales; Poaceae
Source: RefSeq, a predicted model, not a curated record